This 250-nucleotide ribosomal RNA is filed under the name uncultured bacterium. RNAcentral describes it as "partial 16S ribosomal RNA". It matches the Rfam family "Bacterial small subunit ribosomal RNA", at positions 524 to 773 of the family's 1533-position model. The record is from RNAcentral.
UACGGAGGGGGCGAGCGUUGUUCGGAAUUAUUGGGCGUAAAGGGCGCGUAGGCGGCUGAUCAAGUCGGGUGUGAAAUCCCUCGGCUCAACCGAGGAACUGCACCCGAUACUGGUCGGCUAGAGUCCGGGAGGGGAUGGCGGAAUUCCCAGUGUAGCGGUGAAAUGCGUAGAUAUUGGGAAGAACACCAGUGGCGAAGGCGGCCAUCUGGACCGGAACUGACGCUGAGGCGCGAAAGCCAGGGGAGCGAAU